RNAcentral lists this non-coding RNA (123 nucleotides) under Bathycoccus prasinos. The record is from RNAcentral. Lineage: Eukaryota; Viridiplantae; Chlorophyta; Mamiellophyceae; Mamiellales; Bathycoccaceae.
UUUAGUCGUCGUUGUUGUCCUUCCGUUGGCUAAUUUCUUCCUCACUUUUCCGAGGUUUCUACAGAGAGUAUUCGCGCUGUUACACGCACACUUUAACGCGCAACGCAAUACUACUACUAAACA